CCCUACGGGAGGCAGCAGUGGGGGAUAUUGCACAAUGGGGGGAACCCUGAUGCAGCGACGCCGCGUGGGUGAAGAAGCGCCUCGGCGCGUAAAGCCCUGUCAGCAGGGAAGAAAAUGACGGUACCUGAAGAAGAAGCCCCGGCUAACUACGUGCCAGCAGCCGCGGUAAUACGUAGGGGGCAAGCGUUAUCCGGAUUUACUGGGUGUAAAGGGGGCGCAAACGGCGAUGCAAGCCAGGAGUGAAAGCCCGGGGCCCAACCCCGGGACUGCUCUUGGAACUGCGUGGCUGGAGAGCAGGAGGGGCG
RNAcentral lists this ribosomal RNA (305 nucleotides) under uncultured bacterium. Its description in RNAcentral is "bacterial SSU rRNA". It matches the Rfam family "Bacterial small subunit ribosomal RNA", at positions 337 to 659 of the family's 1533-position model. The record is from RNAcentral.